AAUAUUGGACAAUGGUGGUAACCCUGAUACAGCAAUGCCGCUUGUGUGAAGAAGGUCUUCGGAUUGUAAAUCACUUUAUGUUGGGAGGAAGGGCAUUAGGUUAAUACCUUGAAGUUUUGACGUUACAAACAGAAUAAGAAACGGCUAACUCUGUGGCAGACGCCGCGGUACUACAGAGGGUGCAAGCGGUAAUCGGAAUUAGUGGGCGUAAAGCGCGCGUAGGUGGUUCAGUAAGAUGGGUGUGAAAUCCCCGGGCUUAACCUGGGAACUGCUUUCAUAACUGCUGAGCUAGAGUACGGUAGAGGGUAGUGGAAUUUCCUGUGUAGCGGUGAAAUGCGUAGAUAUAGGAAGGAACACCAGUGGCGAAGGCGACUACCCGGGCUAAUACUGACACUGAGGUGCGAAAGCGUGGGGAGCAAAC
Molecule: ribosomal RNA, 421 nt
Filed under: uncultured bacterium
Lineage: Bacteria
Description: partial 16S ribosomal RNA
Rfam family: Bacterial small subunit ribosomal RNA
Source: RNAcentral